Molecule: ribosomal RNA, 498 nt
Filed under: uncultured Pseudomonas sp.
Lineage: Bacteria; Pseudomonadati; Pseudomonadota; Gammaproteobacteria; Pseudomonadales; Pseudomonadaceae
Description: bacterial SSU rRNA
Rfam family: Bacterial small subunit ribosomal RNA
Source: RNAcentral
GUUGCCAGCCCGCUCAGAAACUUAAAUGAAUUGACGGGGCCCGGCACAAGCGGUGGAGCAUGUGGUUAAUUCGAUGAUACGCGAGGAACCUUACCUGGGCUCAAAUGUAUGUUGACGUAUUCUGAAAGGGAUACUUCUUCGGACAAUAUACAAGGUGCUGCAUGGUUGUCGUCAGCUCGUGCCGUGAGGUGUCGGGUUAAGUCCCAUAACGAGCGCAACCCUAUCAUUAGUUGCCAUCAGGUCAAGCUGGGGACUCUAAUGAAACUGCCUACGCAAGUAGUGAGGAAGGUGGGGAUGACGUCAAGUCAUCAUGGCCCUUACGGCCUGGGCUACACACGUGCUACAAUGGUCGGUACAAAGGGUUGCCAAGCCGCGAGGUGGAGCUAAUCCCAUAAAACCGAUCGUAGUCCGGAUCGCAGUCUGCAACUCGACUGCGUGAAGUCGGAAUCGCUAGUAAUCGUGAAUCAGAGUGUCACGGUGAAUACGUUCCCGGGCCUU